RNAcentral lists this ribosomal RNA (388 nucleotides) under uncultured eukaryote. RNAcentral describes it as "SSU rRNA". It matches the Rfam family "Eukaryotic small subunit ribosomal RNA", at positions 587 to 972 of the family's 1831-position model. The record is from RNAcentral.
AGCUCCAAUAGCGUAUAUUAAAGUUGCUGCAGUUAAAAAGCUCGUAGUUGGAUUUCUGGUUAGAUUCGUCUGGCCCGCCACGGUUACGUGCGUGAGUGCUGGAUCGAAUCUGCCAUCCUUCGUUUAUGACUAGUAACUCUUUAUUGGGUGCUAGUUCGUGAACGAUCGUUUACUUUGAAAAAAUUAGAGUGUUUCAAGCAGGCUUUAGCUUUGAAUACAUUAGCAUGGAAUAAUAAAGUAGGACUUCGGUUCUAGUUUGUUGGUUUGGAGAGCUGAAGUAAUGAUGGAUAGGGACAGUUGGGGGUGCUAGUAUUCAGCGGCCAGAGGUGAAAUUCUUGGAUUCGCUGAAGACUCACUACGGCGAAAGCAUUCACCAAGGAUGUCUUCU